RNAcentral lists this ribosomal RNA (407 nucleotides) under bacterium enrichment culture clone ALO1_GLFRUDD03GBHYF. RNAcentral describes it as "bacterial SSU rRNA". It matches the Rfam family "Bacterial small subunit ribosomal RNA", at positions 9 to 416 of the family's 1533-position model. The record is from RNAcentral.
GAGUUUGAUCUUGGCUCAGAUUGAACGCUGGCGGCAUGCCUUACACAUGCAAGUCGAACGGCAGCACGGGAGCUUGCUCCUGGUGGCGAGUGGCGAACGGGUGAGUAAUGCAUCGGAACGUAUCCUGGAGUGGGGGAUAACGUAGCGAAAGUUACGCUAAUACCGCAUAUUCUGUGAGCAGGAAAGCGGGGGACCUUCGGGCCUCGCGCUCUUGGAGCGGCCGAUGUCGGAUUAGCUAGUUGGUGAGGUAAGGGCUCACCAAGGCGACGAUCCGUAGCAGGUCUGAGAGGAUGAUCUGCCACACUGGAACUGAGACACGGUCCAGACUCCUACGGGAGGCAGCAGUGGGGAAUUUUGGACAAUGGGGGCAACCCUGAUCCAGCCAUGCCGCGUGAGUGAAGAAGGCC